AUGAAGCUGAAGAUGAGGAAGGAAAACUACCGUGAGGAAAUUACUCAGUGGACUAAGGACAACAAAAAGGCUAGAGUGUUUAUGCUUGGAUCAAUGUCUGAUUCUCUAGCCGGAGAGUAUGAACCAGAGGAAUCAGCUCGCAAAAUAAUGAGGAGAUUGGAAAAGGAUUUUGGAGAAGUUUCACUUAUCAAAGUUCUUAGCUUGGUGAAUCAGUUUUUGACUGCGAAGAUGACAGAAACCACUUCUGUUAGUGCGCAUCUGAAUAAAUUGUGUGUGUUAGUAGAGGAACUAAAGAAUGCUGGAUACCCUUUCCCUGAAGAAGUUCAAGUUAUGGUUGCUCUAAACUCUUUGCCAAACUCUUGGGAACAAUUUAAAAUAUCCUUUUGUCAUACUGAGCGUGUGCUAAACACGGGGACGCUUAGGCAUCAUCUACUCAUGGAAGAAGACAGGAAGUCCACACAAGGGAAAGAGAGAAGGUCUCAACAUGAUGAACUACACCUUGGUGAGGACAAGUCUUCAAGCAAGAGGAAUUGGCAAAAGAGGAAAUAUGGGGCAGAUUUGAGGGAUAAAAUAAAUCAGAAGCGUGAUAGGAAUGAUUACAAAGGAAGAAACUCAAAUCAAAAGGUUGACAAGAGGAAAUUUAACUGCCAUAAUUGUGGUGAACAAGGACACUUCAGAUCUGAGUGCACUAAGAAGAGGAAGCCAGAUGAUAAGAAGUAUAACAACAACCAGUCCAAGCAUCAAGAUAAUAGAAGGGGAAAUUCUUCACCUGAUGCUGCAGGGAUAUACUGA
This 792-nucleotide ribosomal RNA is filed under the name Triticum aestivum (bread wheat). RNAcentral describes it as "partial small subunit ribosomal RNA". The record is from RNAcentral. Lineage: Eukaryota; Viridiplantae; Streptophyta; Magnoliopsida; Poales; Poaceae.